AUAGGGAUCCCUUGAAAAUAUGGGCAUGCGUAAUCUGGAUGGAUGUGCACAUUUCAAGGAGAAAAAAAAGGAGAGAGAGAGAGAGGAGCUGAGGAUAUGUUCGAUGCUGCAACCUGCGGCCGUUUCUGUCAUGGAAGAAAAGCUUUGGAUCCACCAGCUCGUUUCUGUACUUGGACAGUAUAAAUAGCCGAAGGGCACGCAGAGCGUUGCAUCCAAUCCAAGGCCACAGAUUUGUGUGUGUGCAGUGUGCUAGAGAGUGGCGAUAAGAGUCUGUCCAGAUAGCCAAGGAUGACUUGCCUGUGGCUUCUUGGCUUGGCUUGGCUCGGGCAAAACCUUGUGCACGUUUUAUUGCUCGCCUCGUGGCCUCGAUCACAGGCAGUCUCCUUGGCUAGUCCGGGCGGGCCCCUUAUCUGAAACCGAUCCCUGGUUCAUUCAUAUAUCGGUGAGCGUGCGACCGAGGGAAAGCAUAUAUGCGGUGCAGGUGCAGGUGCAGGCGUGACAGCUACUAGCUCUGGGCAGAGGACUGGCCUGGCAUGGCGAUGGAAGCUCUGCUUCGGUAGCCAAGGAUGAGCUGCCUGUGGCCUCCUGCUGCGGACGUUGCGUGGCCCCGCCUCCACCGCGUGCGGUCCCCGCAGGCAGCCUCCUUGGCUAGUCUGAGCGGCUUCCAUCCUCCAUGCUAGGCUCAUCUCCUCUUCAGUUAAUCUGUAAAUGCAGCAGCUUUGCUUUAAAGUCGUGGCACGUCAUCAGAAGCAGUGCAUCACACGUUGUUUAAUUUAUCCAAUCUUCCUAAAUGCAUGUAAUGUAACUCGGUCGGUAUAUAGUUUCACUUGGCUUGGUGUGCAGCAGAAGCAUAUCAAGGUCGAGCGGUGGAUGGAUGAAGCUAACCUAGGAUGGACGGAUGGACCUGACGAGAUGCAGCUAGCAGUGUAUCCCGCGCUUUCGAUCGGUCGACCAUACCAUCCGGUGCAAUGGGGCUGAGGUUUCUUGUCCAAGGACAACUAUUUCCCCUUGUUCUGUUCAUUUCUUUCAGCUGCAGCCUGCAGUAGGCAGAGUUGUCAAGAUAGAUAGCACGUUAUGAAAUGCAGUGAGUGACACUGUUACCUUCCAUUCAGGAGGGAGAAAAAGGUAAGGCUCAUAAAAUGCAGGGAACUGCUUGCUGCUGCACCUUGUGAUUAUAUAACAACCGAAGA
This 1190-nucleotide non-coding RNA is filed under the name Zea mays. The record is from RNAcentral. Lineage: Eukaryota; Viridiplantae; Streptophyta; Magnoliopsida; Poales; Poaceae.